Molecule: ribosomal RNA, 492 nt
Filed under: uncultured bacterium
Lineage: Bacteria
Description: partial 16S ribosomal RNA
Rfam family: Bacterial small subunit ribosomal RNA
Source: RNAcentral
AGUGAACGCUGGCGGUAGGCCUAACACAUGCAAGUCGAACGGCAGCACAGUAAGAGCUUGCUCUUACGGGUGGCGAGUGGCGGACGGGUGAGGAAUACAUCGGAAUCUACUUUUUCGUGGGGGAUAACGUAGGGAAACUUACGCUAAUACCGCAUACGACCUACGGGUGAAAGCAGGGGAUCUUCGGACCUUGCGCGAUUGAAUGAGCCGAUGUCGGAUUAGCUAGUUGGCGGGGUAAAGGCCCACCAAGGCGACGAUCCGUAGCUGGUCUGAGAGGAUGAUCAGCCACACUGGAACUGAGACUCGGUCCAGACUCCUACGGGAGGCAGCAGUGGGGAAUAUUGGACAAUGGGCGCAAGCCUGAUCCAGCCAUACCGCGUGGGUGAAGAAGGCGUUCGGGUUGUAAAGCCCUUUUGUUGGGAAAGAAAAGCAGCAGGUUAAUACCCCGCUGUUCUGACGGUACCCAAAGAAUAAGCACCGGCUAACUUCGUG